Molecule: ribosomal RNA, 499 nt
Filed under: uncultured bacterium
Lineage: Bacteria
Description: partial 16S ribosomal RNA
Rfam family: Bacterial small subunit ribosomal RNA
Source: RNAcentral
GACGAACGCUGGCGGCGUGCCUAAUACAUGCAAGUCGAGCGAAGUUUUUCUGGUUCUUGCACUAGUAAAACUUAGCGGCGAACGGGUGAGUAACACGUAAAGAACCUGCCUCAUAGACUGGGACAACUAUUGGAAACGAUAGCUAAUACCGGAUAACAGUAUUUCUCGCAUGAGUGCUAUUUAAAAGUUGUUUAUGCUAACACUAUGAGAUUGCUUUGCGGUGCAUUUGCUGGUUGGUGGGGUAAAGGCCCACCAAGGCGACGAUGCAUAGCCGACCUGAGAGGGUGAUCGGCCACACUGGAACUGAGACACGGCCCAGACUCCUACGGGAGGCAGCAGUAGGGAAUCUUCCGCAAUGGGCGAAAGCCUGACGGAGCAACGCCGCGUGAGUGAAGAAGGAUUUCGGUUCGUAAAGCUCUGUUGUUAGGGAAGAAUGGAUAUGUAGUAACUAUACGUGUAAGAGACGGUACCUACACAGAAAGCCACGGCUAACUACGUG